GAACGGGUGAGUAACGCGUGGGUAACCUACCUUUCAGCGGGGGAUAACUAUUGGAAACGAUAGCUAAUACCGCAUAACAAUGUUGGAUGCAUAUUCGACAUUUGAAAGUACCAACUAGUACACUGAGAGAUGGACCCGCGUUGUAUUAGCUAGUUGGUAGUGUAAUGGACUACCAAGGCGAUGAUACAUAGCCGACCUGAGAGGGUGAUCGGCCACAUUGGGACUGAGACACGGCCCAAACUCCUACGGGAGGCAGCAGUAGGGAAUCUUCGGCAAUGGACGAAAGUCUGACCGAGCAACGCCGCGUGAGUGAAGAAGGUUUUCGGAUCGUAAAACUCUGUUGUUAGAGAAGAACGUUGCAUAGAGUGGAAAAUUAUGCAAGUGACGGUAUCUAACCAGAAAGGGACGGCUAACUACGUGCCAGCAGCCGCGGUAAUACGUAGGUCCCGAGCGUUGUCCGGAUUUAUUGGGCGUAAAGCGAGCGCAGGUGGUUUAAUAAGUCUGAUGUAAAAGGCAGUGGCUCAACCAUUGUGUGCAUUGGAAACUGUUAGACUUGAGUGCAGUAGAGGAGAGUGGAAUUCCAUGUGUAGCGGUGAAAUGCGUAGAUAUAUGGAGGAACACCGGUGGCGAAAGCGGCUCUCUGGACUGUCACUGACACUGAGGCUCGAAAGCGUGGGUAGCAAACAGGAUUAGAUACCCUGGUAGUCCACGCCGUAAACGAUGAGUGCUAGUUGUUUGGGGCUAUCCAGCCCUAAGUGACGCAG
Molecule: ribosomal RNA, 764 nt
Filed under: uncultured Lactococcus sp.
Lineage: Bacteria; Bacillati; Bacillota; Bacilli; Lactobacillales; Streptococcaceae
Description: bacterial SSU rRNA
Rfam family: Bacterial small subunit ribosomal RNA
Source: RNAcentral